RNAcentral lists this transfer RNA (91 nucleotides) under Phaeosphaeriaceae sp. SRC1lsM3a. Its description in RNAcentral is "Stagonospora sp. SRC1lsM3a tRNA-Pro". The record is from RNAcentral. Lineage: Eukaryota; Fungi; Ascomycota; Dothideomycetes; Pleosporales; Phaeosphaeriaceae.
GGUCUUGUGGUCUAGUGGUAUGAUUCUCGCUUAGGGUUAAACCCCGAGCAUUGCUUGCGAGAGGUCCCGCGUUCGAGUCGCGGCAAGACCC